UACAGAGGUGGCAAGCGUUGUUCGGAAUUACUGGGCGUAAAGGGCGCGUAGGCGGCCUUCUAAGUCAGACGUGAAAUCCCCAGGCUUAACUUGGGAACUGCGUCUGAUACUGGAAGGCUCGAGUGCGGGAGAGGGAUGCGGAAUUCCAGGUGUAGCGGUGAAAUGCGUAGAUAUCUGGAGGAACACCGGUGGCGAAGGCGGCAUCCUGGACCGACACUGACGCUGAGGAGCGAAAGCCAGGGGAGCAAACGGG
RNAcentral lists this ribosomal RNA (253 nucleotides) under uncultured bacterium. RNAcentral's name for it is "partial 16S ribosomal RNA". It matches the Rfam family "Bacterial small subunit ribosomal RNA", at positions 524 to 776 of the family's 1533-position model. The record is from RNAcentral.